AGAGCGAACGCUGGCGGCAGGCCUAAUACAUGCAAGUCGAACGGACCCUUCGGGGUUAGUGGCGGACGGGUGAGUAACACGUGGGAACGUGCCCUUUGGUUCGGAACAACUCAGGGAAACUUGAGCUAAUACCGAAUGUGCCCCCAUCCUUAAACAAGAUGGGUGGGAAAGAUUUAUCGCCAUUGGAGCGGCCCGCGUCUGAUUAGCUAGUUGGUGGGGUAAAGGCUCACCAAGGCUACGAUCAGUAGCUGGUCUGAGAGGAUGAUCAGCCUCACUGGGACUGAGACACGGCCCAGACUCCUACGGGAGGCAGCAGUGGGGAAUAUUGGACAAUGGGCGCAAGCCUGAUCCAGCCAUGCCGCGUGGAUGAUGAAGGCCCUAGGGUUGUAAAGUCCUUUCGACGGGGAAGAUAAUGACGGUACCCGUAGAAGAAGCCCGGCUAACUUCGUGCCAGCAGCCGC
RNAcentral lists this ribosomal RNA (461 nucleotides) under uncultured bacterium. Its description in RNAcentral is "SSU rRNA". It matches the Rfam family "Bacterial small subunit ribosomal RNA", at positions 26 to 518 of the family's 1533-position model. The record is from RNAcentral.